This is a non-coding RNA of Odocoileus virginianus texanus, 698 nucleotides long. The record is from RefSeq and is a predicted model, not a curated record. NCBI's taxonomy places the organism in Eukaryota, Metazoa, Chordata, Mammalia, Artiodactyla, Cervidae.
CUCCCUCCCACCCCGCCUCCUUACACACACUCACGCACACUCACACACACACCCUGCUUCCAACCACUCUUUGCCCUGUUUAAGUUUAGCCCAAUCCUGUUCAUUCCUCCACACCCUCUGCCCGGAUCCUCCCUGUGGACCUGACCAUGCCAGCCCCUCCCCAUCCUUUACAAAUACUCCUGAGGACAGACAGUGCCUUAGAUUGCCUAUUGCCCCCUGCUCUGCACUGCUAGGUGUUCCUUUUGUCAUUCCCUGUGCCUGCUCCAAAAAGAUGGAGCCACGCCCACAGGGACAUGGCCAUGAGCACAGCCAUGGAGGUGGGCACCCUCCUGGCCCUGGGGACCACCAUCCCCCUGGCCCUGGGCACAGCCAUGGAGGUGGGCACCCUCCUGGCCCUGGGGACCACCAUCCCUCUGGCCCUGGGCACAGCCAUGGAGGUGGGCACCCUCCUGGCCCUGGGCACAGCCAUGGCCCUGGGCACCCCCCUGGCCCUGGAAACCACCCUCCAUGUCCCCACCCUGGAUCAGGGCACUGUCCUGGAAGGGGCCACCCACCAGGGCCCCCUGGGCACCCCCCUGGUCCACAUCACUGAGGAAGCAGAAGAAAAGGACCCAAGAAUGUGGAGCCUGAUCUAGCAUGGAGCCUGAACCAGAAUCUUCUGUUCCUAAUAAACAGCCUCCUAGAGGCCACAUUCUACU